GACGAACGCUGGCGGCGUGCUUAACACAUGCAAGUCGAGCGGUAAGGCCCUUUCGGGGGUACACGAGCGGCGAACGGGUAGAGUAACACGUGGGUGACCUGCCCUCAGCUCUGGGAUAAGCCUGGGAAACCGGGUCUAAUACUGGAUAUGACUCCAUGACGCAUGUUGUGGGGUGGAAAGCCUUGUGCGGCUGAGGAUGGGCCCGCGGCCUAUCAGCUUAUUGGUGGGGUGAGGCCUACCGAGGCGACGACGGGUAGCCGGCCUGAGAGGGCGACCGGCCACACUGGGACUGAGACACGGCCCAGACUCCUACGGGAGGCAGCA
This 324-nucleotide ribosomal RNA is filed under the name uncultured bacterium. RNAcentral describes it as "bacterial SSU rRNA". It matches the Rfam family "Bacterial small subunit ribosomal RNA", at positions 28 to 353 of the family's 1533-position model. The record is from RNAcentral.